AAGGAAUAUCAGAGGCCUGAUGCCCUUAUUUUAUGGGGAGAAAACUGAAGCCUUUUGAGGGAUUUUAUUUUCCUGUUUUUCCUGGGCUGUGCUACUCUGUUGAAAUGCUGCUCCUUGGCUUUGUUCCAACGACAUGGAUUGUCUCAAGUCUGAAUACUUUCGGUAUUUCCAGGGUCCAAGAAUUCCUUUGGUUUGAAGAAAAAAUCCACUUCUUGAUUCUAGAGAGACUGAUUUAUAGAUGUGCUGACAAGCAGGCUGAGGUCUGGUAUCGUAACCUGUGUUCCUUUGGCUAUGGGACAUGGCAUCUCUGUUGAAAAUAGCAAAUUCUA
Molecule: non-coding RNA, 329 nt
Organism: Phascolarctos cinereus (koala)
Lineage: Eukaryota; Metazoa; Chordata; Mammalia; Diprotodontia; Phascolarctidae
Source: RefSeq, a predicted model, not a curated record